CAGGAUGAACGCUAGCGGCAGGCCUAAUACAUGCAAGUCGAGGGGUGCCAUAGUAGCAAUACUAUGGUAACCGGCGGACGGGUGCGUAACACGUACGCAACCUACCUCUUACAGGAGGAUAGCUCUCGGAAACGGGAAUUAAUACUCCAUAAUAUUCUAUUAGGGCAUCCUAAUAGGAUUAAAGCCGGAAGGCGGUAAGAGAUGGGCGUGCGGCCGAUUAGCUAGUUGGUAGGGUAACGGCCUACCAAGGCUAUGAUCGGUAGGGGAACUGAGAGGUUGGUCCCCCACACGGGCACUGAGACACGGGCCCGACUCCUACGGGAGGCAGCAGUAAGGAAUAUUGGACAAUGGGCGGAAGCCUGAUCCAGCCAUGCCGCGUGCAGGAAGAAGGCCCUAUGGGUUGUAAACUGCUUUUGCAGGGGAGAAAUAAGGUUGAUUUAUUGACCGAUGAUAGUACUCUGCGAAUAAGCAUCGGCUAACUUCGUGCCAGCAGCCGCGGUAA
This 502-nucleotide ribosomal RNA is filed under the name uncultured bacterium. RNAcentral describes it as "bacterial SSU rRNA". It matches the Rfam family "Bacterial small subunit ribosomal RNA", at positions 25 to 523 of the family's 1533-position model. The record is from RNAcentral.